GCCGCUCCGCCGCGGGGCCCCGCAGGCCGGCGGCGGCCUCCCCCUGCUCGUCCCGGCUCGGUGCCGGCGGCGGUUCGGUGUCGGCGGAGGGCUCGGUGCCCGGCUGCCCUCCCUGCCUCCGUCAGUCCGCCCGUCCCUGCCGCGGCCGCCUCAGCCUCUCGCCGCGCUGCCCCCCCGCCGCCGCCCGGCCUGACGGGCCGGCUCCGCCGCUUCCGCCUUCCCCAUGCUGCGGGCGGCGGCGGGCAGAGGGCAGAGGGCAGGGUUCGCUCCCUCCCUCUCUUCCCUUCGCCGCCGUUCCCCGGCCGCCCGGGCGGGCGCUGCCCGGCGCCCCGAGCACCCCCGCUGCCCGCGGGCAGGGCCGGACAGGCCGCGGCUCCCCCGGGCGUGACGGAGCGCUGGGCUCCCGGGGCCCCCUCCCGGCUGGGAGCCCCGUCCCGUUAAUUAAUUCAUCGCUAUUUUUGUUUCUAGAUCGAGCAGAGAGCUCUGCAGGAGCCGUGGAGAGGAGGGUACUUGGCUAAAGGCGCCUAUUGUUGUUAUUUUUAUUCAAUAUUAGGGGCUCGGGGGUGGCCACGGAGCCAGCCGGGAGCGAUGCUGCUCUGGGACCCAUCGUGCUGCCAGCCGUAGAAUAAUCUUCAUUGAACUAAGUAGAAACCAAGCAUGAUGAACUCAUCAAAUCAGAACAAGAAAUGAAUUUUAGGAGCUGACUGGACUACAUGUGCACACAGCUGAACAGGGAAAGGUGGAAGAACUUUUGUACUGCUGCAGACCAUAUAUCAAUGCAAUACCCAAUCUGCCUUUCCUGCUUUCAAAAAUAAACAGAUUAUUAGUCCUCUACUCCU
This is a long non-coding RNA of Vidua chalybeata, 839 nucleotides long. RefSeq lists it as uncharacterized. The record is from RefSeq and is a predicted model, not a curated record. Lineage: Eukaryota; Metazoa; Chordata; Aves; Passeriformes; Viduidae. The transcript is spliced from 3 exons.